AGAAUCAACGCUGGCGGCGUGCCUAACACAUGCAAGUCGAACGAGAACGGGUAGCAAUACCUUAGUAAAGUGGCGCACGGGUGAGUAACACGUGACUAACCUACCCUGGAGUGGGGGAUAACUGAGAGAAAAUCUUAGCUAAUACCGCAUAACACCUACGGGUCAAAGGAGCAAUUCGCUUCAGGAGGGGUCGCGGCAGAUUAGAUAGUUGGCGGGGUAAUGGCCCACAAGUCAGUGAUCUGUA
This 244-nucleotide ribosomal RNA is filed under the name uncultured bacterium. RNAcentral's name for it is "partial small subunit ribosomal RNA". It matches the Rfam family "Bacterial small subunit ribosomal RNA", at positions 26 to 285 of the family's 1533-position model. The record is from RNAcentral.